UACGGAGGGUGCAAGCGUUAUCCGGAUUCACUGGGGUUAAAGGGUGCGUAGGUGGGCAGGUAAGUCAGUGGUGAAAUCUCCGGGCUCAACCCGGAAACUGCCAUUGAUACUAUCAGUCUUGAAUAUCGUGGAGGUAAGCGGAAUAUGUCAUGUAGCGGUGAAAUGCUUAGAUAUGACAUAGAACACCAAUUGCGAAGGCAGCUUACUACCCGAAUAUUGACACUGAGGCACGAAAGCGUGGGGAUCAAACAGG
Molecule: ribosomal RNA, 253 nt
Filed under: uncultured bacterium
Lineage: Bacteria
Description: partial 16S ribosomal RNA
Rfam family: Bacterial small subunit ribosomal RNA
Source: RNAcentral